GCUUCAAGAGUUCUAGCCCCUAAAACUCGACUAGCCAUCAGUUGAUCAGACUUUCCUUCAGACCUAAGUUUAAACCUAUCAGAACCACCCAUUAGAUCUGACCAUCUUCUUCUAGACCUCUUAAAUCUUUAGAGCUAUUAGGAAUAGGCUUGUCUGAAAAGAACAAGCCUUUGUCCUAAACUUUAGAGUUGUUAGAGAGGGAGAGAGG
RNAcentral lists this long non-coding RNA (208 nucleotides) under Elaeis guineensis (African oil palm). RNAcentral describes it as "long non-coding RNA (EGUI_LNC064688)". Lineage: Eukaryota; Viridiplantae; Streptophyta; Magnoliopsida; Arecales; Arecaceae. The record is from RNAcentral.